UUUACAUUUGAGUGAGUGGCGAACUGGUGAGUAACACGUGGGAAACCUGCCCAGAAGCGGGGGAUAACACCUGGAAACAGAUGCUAAUACCGCAUAACAACUUGGACCGCAUGGUCCGAGCUUGAAAGAUGGCUUCGGCUAUCACUUUUGGAUGGUCCCGCGGCGUAUUAGCUAGAUGGUGGGGUAACGGCUCACCAUGGCAAUGAUACGUAGCCGACCUGAGAGGGUAAUCGGCCACAUUGGGACUGAGACACGGCCCAAACUCCUACGGGAGGCAGCAGUAGGGAAUCUUCCACAAUGGACGAAAGUCUGAUGGAGCAACGCCGCGUGAGUGAAGAAGGGUUUCGGCUCGUAAAACUCUGUUGUUAAAGAAGAACAUAUCUGAGAGUAACUGUUCAGGUAUUGACGGUAUUUAACCAGAAAGCCACGGCUAACUACGUGCCAGCAGCCGCGGUAAUACG
This 461-nucleotide ribosomal RNA is filed under the name Lactiplantibacillus plantarum. RNAcentral describes it as "bacterial SSU rRNA". It matches the Rfam family "Bacterial small subunit ribosomal RNA", at positions 80 to 527 of the family's 1533-position model. The record is from RNAcentral. Lineage: Bacteria; Bacillati; Bacillota; Bacilli; Lactobacillales; Lactobacillaceae.